This 393-nucleotide ribosomal RNA is filed under the name uncultured bacterium. Its description in RNAcentral is "partial 16S ribosomal RNA". It matches the Rfam family "Bacterial small subunit ribosomal RNA", at positions 523 to 918 of the family's 1533-position model. The record is from RNAcentral.
AUACGGAGGAUGCGAGCGUUAUUCGGAUUUAUUGGGCUUAAAGGGAGCGUAGGUGGGAUAUUAAGUCAGCUGUGAAAGUUUGGGGCUCAACCUUAAAAUUGCAGUUGAUACUGGUUUCCUUGAGUACGGUACAGGUGGGCGGAAUUCGAGGUGUAGCGGGGAAAUGCUUAGAUAUCACGAAGAACUCCGAUCGCGAAGGCAGCUCACCGGGCCGGAACUGACACUGAUGCUCGAAAGUGCGGGUAUCAAACAGGAUUAGAUACCCUGGUAGUCCGCACAGUAAACGAUGAAUACUCGCUGUUUGCGAUACACGGUAAGCGGCCAAGCGAAAGCGUUAAGUAUUCCACCUGGGGAGUACGCCGGCAACGGUGAAACUCAAAUGAAUUGGCGGGG